Non-coding RNA from Pteropus alecto (black flying fox), 74 nucleotides. The record is from Rfam. NCBI's taxonomy places the organism in Eukaryota, Metazoa, Chordata, Mammalia, Chiroptera, Pteropodidae.
GGCUCCAUAGUGUAGUGGUUAGCACGUCUGCUUUACAUGCAGAAGGUCCUGGGUUCAUGCUCCAGGUGGAGCCA